RNAcentral lists this ribosomal RNA (494 nucleotides) under uncultured bacterium. Its description in RNAcentral is "partial 16S ribosomal RNA". It matches the Rfam family "Bacterial small subunit ribosomal RNA", at positions 28 to 507 of the family's 1533-position model. The record is from RNAcentral.
GACGAACGCUGGCGGCGUGCUUAACACAUGCAAGUCGAACGGAAAGGCCUGCUUUCCCUUGUGGAUUGCGGGUACUCGAGUGGCGAACGGGUGAGUAACACGUGAGUGAUCUGCCCCCAACUUGGGUAUAAGCCUGGGAAACUGGGUCUAAUUCCCGAUAGGACUGCAGGGUGGUGCCUGUGGUGGAAAACGAUUUUCUAGUGGUUGGGGAUGAGCUCGCGGCCUAUCAGCUUGUUGGUGGGGUAAUGGCCUACCAAGGCGGCGACGGGUAGCCGGCCUGAGAGGGGGGACGGCCACAUUGGGACUGAGAUACGGCCCAGACUCCUACGGGAGGCAGCAGUGGGGAAUAGUGCACAAUGGGCGGAAGCCUGAUGCAGCGACGCCGCGUGGGGGAUGACGGCCUUCGGGUUGUAAACUCCUUUCGACCGCGAGGAAGCCACCUGGUUGGAAGGGUGGUGACGGUAGUGGUAGAAGAAGCACCGGCUAACUACGUG